CUGCACUGAUACCUGCUGCUUCAGAAAGUAAAGCACAAAAGGAUCUUACUCCUGUUGGAAGAGAUGCUUUGUCACGAAUUAGAGGUCGAGAUUUUGACUCAGCAUGUGGUCUUACUGAGGAUACUGGGGCCUUGGUUGUAUGGCAAGCACCACCCAUCUGUUCAUGUAAUUUCUUUUGUAUUAUCUUGGGCUGACAGUAGUACUUUCUAUGAUUGAAGAAAUGGAUUCCUGUUAAGGAGAAAUUGGUUGUCCUCAAGAAAAAUGCGGAACCUUAUGUACAGAAGGUAUCGACAAGAUCAGUGAAGUUUUAUGAACGGAGGGAGGAUUUUCUAUCUCCGCUGUUUAGCCUGGAGUCAAAGGAGGCAGAAGGAGAUGAAGACGAGUGAGAUUGAGAGGAUCAACGAAAUGCUGCUGUCUAGGAAAUGCUGCCUUUUUUAGAGAAAACUAGAUGAGUGUCAGUUUAUACGAAUCACCAAGUUGGCUUUGUUGUUGAGUGUCCUUAAUAAAGAUUUUUGCCCCUGUUUCUAAGACAGCGACAUUCUUAGAUAUAAAACACACUUUGUCACUGCACACUUUUAUUUCACUGUAGCACAGGGUAGAUUCAGUACUUAACUAUUUCAUGUUGUCAUGAUCAAAUGUGUCAAUGACAUUUGAUA
Zea mays is the source of this 656-nucleotide long non-coding RNA. RefSeq lists it as uncharacterized. The record is from RefSeq and is a predicted model, not a curated record. The transcript is spliced from 3 exons. Lineage: Eukaryota; Viridiplantae; Streptophyta; Magnoliopsida; Poales; Poaceae.